GUCCAUUAAAAAAAUGCAGUUCGGUCGAGAAGAACCUACCUUGGAGAAGAGCCCCCGGGAAAAUGGAUAAAAAGAGAAUAGUCGAGAGAGAGCGGCAGCCUGCGUUCGCCAUGUUGGACACCUGCUUCUGUUAUGGUGUGUGUGACGCGGCCACCUGGAGGAAGGAUAAGACAGUCAUGAAGACGCAAGCGAAGAUGACUUUCACAUCCACUAGCCACCGCAAGCUUCCUUCUACCCCCUCCCCUCCUACCUCCACCAUCCCGGCGGGACUUAGCCAGAUUGAGUCAGGCGGUGGGUUAUCUUGGAUGUGCACAGCUUUGACAUAAUUGCCCCCCACAUGAGCUUGCUGUUGCCAU
This is a long non-coding RNA of Syngnathoides biaculeatus (alligator pipefish), 356 nucleotides long. RefSeq lists it as uncharacterized. The transcript is spliced from 3 exons. Lineage: Eukaryota; Metazoa; Chordata; Actinopteri; Syngnathiformes; Syngnathidae. The record is from RefSeq and is a predicted model, not a curated record.